CUCGUCUGACUGUGAGUCCCAGCAGCUCUCAGUUAUUUGAAGGAGACUUCGUGUCUCUGAGCUGUGAGGAGGACGACAGCUCUGCUGGAUGGACUCUGAGGACCAAAAAUAAGAUCACUCAGUGUGGAGAUGGGUGAGGAACAUCAUCUAAUUCUUCCUGUGACAUCAGCUACACCAUUGAAUGAGACAGUUGAGUUUACUGGUGUGAGUCCAGAGAGGGUCCCAUCAGUAACAUGGUUAACCUGACAGUCACUGCAGUUUUGGAGUGCAGCAGAAGAGAAAGACACCAACUGGAACACAGACAGAUCAGCCAAAUAAACUUACACAAAUCAGGCCUGUUUUCUAUGAGCCUGGGCCACAUACACCAAACCAUAAUCAGGCCAGAUGUGGAAUGCCAUCACAUAAACAAUGCCAUCUACACCAGGCCGGGC
This is a long non-coding RNA of Oreochromis aureus, 431 nucleotides long. NCBI's taxonomy places the organism in Eukaryota, Metazoa, Chordata, Actinopteri, Cichliformes, Cichlidae. The record is from Ensembl.